AUUGAACGCUGGCGGAAUGCUUUACACAUGCAAGUCGAACGGCAGCACGGGGGCAACCCUGGUGGCGAGUGGCGAACGGGUGAGUAAUACAUCGGAACGUGCCCAGUCGUGGGGGAUAACGUAGCGAAAGUUACGCUAAUGCCGCAUACGAUCUACGGAUGAAAGCGGGGGACCGUAAGGCCUCGCGCGACUGGAGCGGCCGAUGCCAGAUUAGGGAGUUGGUGAGGUAAAGGCUCACCAAGCCGACGAUCUGUAGCUGGUCUGGGAGGACGACCAGCCACACUGGGACUGAGACACGGCCCAGACUCCUACGGGAGGCAGCAGUGGGGAAUUUUGGACAAUGGGCGCAAGCCUGAUCCAGCCAUUCCGCGUGCAGGACGAAGGCCUUCGGGUUGUAAACUGCUUUUGUACGGAACGAAAAGGCUCUGGUUAAUACCUGGGGCUCAUGACGGUACCGUAAGAAUAAGCACCGGCUAACUACGUGCCAGCCGCCGCCGUAA
RNAcentral lists this ribosomal RNA (500 nucleotides) under uncultured bacterium. RNAcentral describes it as "partial 16S ribosomal RNA". It matches the Rfam family "Bacterial small subunit ribosomal RNA", at positions 29 to 523 of the family's 1533-position model. The record is from RNAcentral.